CGACCCUCAAGCUCUGCUUGGUCUUGGGCCUCGCCGUCCCCGCGGCGGGCCCUAAAAUCAGUGGCGGUGCCGUCUCGGCUCCAAGCGUAGUAGCACUAUCUCGCUCUGGAGACCCGGCGGUUGCUGGCCAGAUAACCCCCAAUUUCUUUCUCGU
This 154-nucleotide unclassified non-coding RNA is filed under the name uncultured Scytalidium. Its description in RNAcentral is "sequence contains ITS2". The record is from RNAcentral. Lineage: Eukaryota; Fungi; Ascomycota.